Balaenoptera musculus (blue whale) is the source of this 1734-nucleotide RNA transcript. It is a transcript of the gene named patatin like phospholipase domain containing 4, with no coding region annotated. NCBI's taxonomy places the organism in Eukaryota, Metazoa, Chordata, Mammalia, Artiodactyla, Balaenopteridae. The record is from RefSeq and is a predicted model, not a curated record. The transcript is spliced from 8 exons.
AAGGGACAGGGGGUGCGGGGCGGGGGGGGUACGAUGUUCUACACGGAAGUGCCUCAGGCCUGCGUUGCUGGAAUGAAGCACAUCAACUUGUCGUUUGCAGCGUGUGGGUUUCUGGGCAUUUACCACUUGGGGGUAGCAUCCGCACUUUGCAAACACGGCAAAAAGCUCCUGAAGAAUGUCAAGGCCUUUGCCGGGGCUUCUGCAGGAUCCUUGGUUGCUUCUGUCCUGCUAACAGCGCCACAAAAAAUAGAGGAAUGUAACGAGUUUACCUACAGUUUUGCCGAAGAAAUCCGAAGGCAGACUUUCGGGGCAGUGACACCGGGCUAUGAUUUCAUGGCCCGACUGAGGAGCGGAGUGGAGGCGAUUCUCCCUCCCAACGCGCACGAGCUGGCUCACGACCGCCUGCACGUCUCCAUCACCAACACCGAGACCAGAGAAAACUGCUUAGUCUCCAGUUUUCCCUCCCGGGAGGACCUCGUUAAGGUCCUGUUAGCCAGCAGCUUCGUGCCCGUUUACGCAGGACUAAAGCCCGUGGAAUACAAAGGGCGGAAGUGGGUAGACGGAGGCUUUACCAACAGCCUGCCCCUCCUGCCCGUAGGCCGGACAGUGACCAUCUCACCGUUUAGCGGGCGAAUGGACAUCUCCCCGCAGGGCAAAGGGCAGCUGGAUUUCUAUGUGACCAUCACCGAGCAGGACAUACUGCGUCUUCUAAAUGCAGCAUGGUGAACCGCGGGAGAUAAGACUAGGGCAUGUCCUGGAAAUAAGCUUGUGCUGGCCUGGCCGGCCUGAGGACCGUGUGAGGACUCCCUGAAUGGUGGAAAGACACUGAUGAUUCCUGAGUGUGGAAGGAGGAAGGCGUCACAGUGACAUUUCAGGAAGAACAACGGGACCAAGUUACCCUUGGGCCCCCAAAGGCAACGGACAGUGCGUGUGUCUCUGAGCCCACAAUGAGCUGAAGGGAGACGGCCCAGCCUGCAGGGGCUGCAACGUGCCUCCUGGCCACUGCAGCCCAAGACGUUCCUCACUUCAUGGCUCUACUACAGCUGGAUGAAAUCUGCAGAGAAAAUAAGCACGCACCCCCCAAACUAGGCACCCGAGAGUCUUAGAACACACUUAGGUGAGAGCCCCUCACGGCCCUCUGAGGCAGCCGGACUCUGAGCCCCCACGUCUGCAUGCAGGUUGGAGCGCUGGCACCCAGGAAGGCUGAGCUCCUGCCCCACCCCUGCUCUCCAGCAAUGGGGAGCUUCUCUGCUGCUGGGAGCCCCCAGCAAUAGCUGCCUGCUGUUUCCAAACCUGCCAGCCCUUAUUCCACAGUCUCACGGAUAAACACGUUACAGUUCAGAUACUGUUGGGAAUUCUGCUCCUGGCCUCUGAGCUUUGCAACGACUAGCUUCCGACUGAGGUUAGCACUCCCGUCCCUACACCCUCGGUGACUGGAUUUAAUAACCGUCGCGCCCUCAUUUUGCUCCCACCCUCGACCCUCUGGCUUUCCUGGGUAGCGUGUCCCGCAGCUGCCCUCAUUCCUCCAUUUCCUCUUGAAGCCUGUGAGCUCCUUCACCACGGAUGUCUUCCCGUGUGUUAGAACACGUCAUUUCAAUCCCCAGAACAUCCCACUGAAAAGUAAGCAGAGCCAAACGACAGUUUAAAUGUGGGCAUUGCUUUUUCCCUUUCAAUCGAUGGACAGUAUGCCUCGAUUCUGUAGUUUCCCCCAGAUUAUAAAUUGCAAAGCAAUCA